Molecule: ribosomal RNA, 305 nt
Filed under: uncultured bacterium
Lineage: Bacteria
Description: bacterial SSU rRNA
Rfam family: Bacterial small subunit ribosomal RNA
Source: RNAcentral
UGUCCCCUACGGGACGCAGCAGUGAGGAAUAUUGGUCAAUGGCCGAGAGGCUGAACCAGCCAAGUCGCGUGAGGGAAGACGGCCCUACGGGUUGUAAACCUCUUUUGUCGGGGAGCAAAGCGAGUCACGUGUGACUCAUUGAGAGUACCCGAAGAAAAAGCAUCGGCUAACUCCGUGCCAGCAGUCGCGGUAAUACGGAGGAUGCGAGCGUUAUCCGGAUUUAUUGGGUUUAAAGGGUGCGCAGGCGGAGGUGCAAGUCAGUAGUGAAAUCCAUGGGCUUAACCCAUGAACUGCUAUUGAAACUG